AGAAACGAAGGUCCUAGAAAAGGUGAGAGAGAAGAGCAGCAGCGGAGAGACGGGGUGGAUAUGGAAAGCUUGGUUUUCAAUCGUAGGGAGAGAGAGAAAGAUGUGAUUGGGAAGAGACAGGGAGAGAGGAAGAGGAGAUCAGAGAAAUCGUAGGGAGAGAGAGAAAGAGGCGAUUUGGAAGAGAGAGGGAGAGAGGAAGAGGAGAUCAGAGAACAAAGUGUUAAUUGGAGUUGAAUCGUUUCGUUCUCCUUCUUGGAGAUGAGUGAGAGGCCGGGUGUGAGACUGAGAGAGGGAGAGAAAGGCAGACUCCAACUAAUUGCAGAGAAGGAGAAGAGAGAGUUGAUCCUCUACAAGUCUGCAUCACAUCUGUUGAUCCCCUGACAUGUGAUAUCUUUCCAGAUUUUACCAAAUUUCUUGAUCGAGGUUCUGGAAUUAGGAAGGGAGUGAUUCUGGAUUUCUGAAAUUUUUUAUGAAGAUGAGGUGGUAAAUUUACCUCCUCCUCCUGAUGUGAGCAAUUACUUGAUAUCAGAGGAUGCUGGUUUUGUACCAAAUGGAAUUGCUCCCCUUAGUGAAGGAAUGCAUGGUGGUAAAGUUGAACGGAGACUGAACCAACAUAUGAUAGAGGUGUUAUGGACACAUUGGCUCAUUUUAAUCAUGCUGAGUUAAGACCCGAUAACUCCCAGAAACCUAUAUUAACUGUCCCUGUCUCCAAUGUCCCUGGUGCAACUUCAUUGAGACCGGUCAUGCCUACUCAUAGUAUGGGACUAUCGGGCAGAUUUAUGGGUCAACCUCCUGAACUUGCUUUUUGGUGCUCUGAUUUUCGAACUGAAAAAGUUAGCUGAAUUGGGAAAGAGUUUAAGGGAAGACUAUCAAGAGCUUUCAAUAGGUCUCUCCUCAUAAUCUAAACUAGAAGACAUAUCAUGCCAAAGUAUAACAAACCAGUUCUGCAAUGCUCUCCUCCAAUUUGUGACAGCCUUGGAGCUGACUCUUUCAUUGGACAAGGAAUCUGUUAGGAGGACAGGAGAUGACACAGGGACUUGCAGUUUCUCGGGAAUUGCAUAUGAUUAAAUUAUUAAUGAGAGAUCUCCGAAUUGGAGUGCACAAGCUGGGCUUGCCCAUAGCAAAGUUGUGGACUUGAGGCUGCAAAAUGUGCAUAAAAGCGUGCCGGAUAGACAAAUUUUUUUCACAAAUUUUUUAGCAAAGAAGCUAGAGCAUUAUUAGGAAGUUUUGAAUAUAGUAAAGGGGACAUAAAAGUUGGAGGAAUAGCUAUUGUUGCAGUGACUCCAUAGAUUAAACUCACCCUUUACUGGAUCUGUAUAUAUAAGUGCUGUCAGCUUACUUCUGAAAGCAUAUUUCUUAAAGCAAAUUCAUUGCAGAGUCUUGGGAGGUUUACAAGUAUCUAUCAUAGGCUGAUUUUAUUUUUGUUCUUUGUAGAAUCUACGAUCUUAUUAUAUUGUAAAUAUUUGAAUUUCAAAUGGGGGAGUUUACAUUCUGGUAAUUUGUUUUAGUGAUAACAAAAUAUAAAUG
Fragaria vesca subsp. vesca is the source of this 1527-nucleotide RNA transcript. RefSeq lists it as uncharacterized. The record is from RefSeq and is a predicted model, not a curated record. The transcript has 9 exons. Lineage: Eukaryota; Viridiplantae; Streptophyta; Magnoliopsida; Rosales; Rosaceae.